RNAcentral lists this non-coding RNA (31 nucleotides) under Mus musculus (house mouse). The record is from RNAcentral. Lineage: Eukaryota; Metazoa; Chordata; Mammalia; Rodentia; Muridae.
UGAGUUCUACAUAUUUGUUAUUCCCUUUGAG